GACGAACGCUGGCGGCGUGCCUAAUACAUGCAAGUUGAGCGCUGAAGGUUGGUACUUGUACCAACUGGAUUAGCAGCGAACGGGUGAGUAACGCGUGGGGAAUCUGCCUUUGAGCGGGGGACAACAUUUGGAAACGAAUGCUAAUACCGCAUAAAAACUUUAAACACAAGUUUUAAGUUUGAAAGAUGCAAUUGCAUCACUCAAAGAUUAUCCCGCGUUGUAUUAGCUAGUUGGUGAGGUAAAGGCUCACCAAGGCGAUGAUACAUAGCCGACCUGAGAGGGUGGUCGGCCACAUUGGGACUGAGACACGGCCCAAACUCCUAAGGGGGGCAGCAGUAGGGAAUCUUCGGCAAUGGACGAAAGUCUGACCGAGCAACGCCGCGUGAGUGAAGAAGGGUUUCGGAUCGUAAAACUCUGUUGGUAGAGAAGAACGUUGGUGAGAGUGGAAAGCUCAUCAAGUGACGGUAACUACCCAGAAAGGGACGGCUAACUACGUG
This 497-nucleotide ribosomal RNA is filed under the name uncultured bacterium. RNAcentral describes it as "partial 16S ribosomal RNA". It matches the Rfam family "Bacterial small subunit ribosomal RNA", at positions 28 to 507 of the family's 1533-position model. The record is from RNAcentral.